Strigops habroptila (Kakapo) is the source of this 2084-nucleotide long non-coding RNA. Lineage: Eukaryota; Metazoa; Chordata; Aves; Psittaciformes; Psittacidae. The record is from Ensembl.
CAUUUUUUAAGUGAGAAGAGAACAAAUUCUUUUCUUCUCAGGCCUAAAGCCCUCCCUCUUGUCUUGCUUUCCAUUUCUCCAUAACAUAAUCUUUAUUGCUUAUGUGGUGGAGAAGACUUGCCACCACCAGGCAAUGUGGAAUUAAAGGGGUACAUUCUGUAUGUAGUAUAUUGAGAGGAAAAUGUGAACUGGACCAAAGGUGUCCUUACCGGACUACUUCUGCCUGGCUCCCCACUUACUGCACGUGGCAUGUUCAAACACCUCCUGCUCCUGCAGCAGGUAGCUCUGUACUCCUGCUCAAACUGGCUGUAGAACAUCUAGCCAAAGUUUGGCUGUUGCCUUGUUUUUUCCCCUUUGACUUCUCGCAAUAACAAUGACAAAUACAGGGUUAUGAGGCUUUAAUGUUCUGGUUUUUAAUUACUCUUGAGAUGCGUCAUUUUGCUUCAUGUGCAAGCUAAACAGAGCACUAACUUCUGUGAGCUGUGCAAACCAGACUCGCUCCCUGGAGUGCUUUCUUGGGAACUUCCAGGAUGGUUUGUUUGGGUAGUUCGGCAAAAUAAUAUCUGUCAAGUCAUGACGUACUAAACCCUUCAAACCCUAGAGAGAUGUCUUUUAAGGAUCAUAGGAAAUAGAUGGAGAGAACAGGAAAUCAGGUUCCAAAUAAUCAUCUUCAAAAGCUAGGAGGUCAGUAGCUCUGGUCAGGCUUUUCCCCUAAGGAUGGGAUGACAGUGCUAAUCCAAUAGUCACCCGUGGCAUGCUGCUGUGAAGCACCUCUCCUUUCCAGCCACCUUCCCUGUGCUGUAACUGUGCUUUGAGUCUACUUUUCCCAGAAAGCUAAAAAGCUUGGGAUCUGUCUGAACAGCUUUCUUGUCUUGAGGCUUCCUUUGUAAAAGCUUUAUCUGUGUUAGAUUCUCUUUCAGUAACUGUUCUGACUAUAGACCACCACCGAUAGCCGCUGCAGAGCCCUUGUUCCGUCCUGCCCCUUCCGUGUUACGUGGCUGCUUAGUGUUGGUGGCUCAUCUGUGGUGGCUGCUGCUGCUCCUGGAACUGAGGGAGCGCUGCAGGCUGCAGCAGCAAGAAUUAAGCUUACAAACAAGGGUAAAAAUCUAAUAUACAGAGCUGAAAGCUGCUCUAUGCAACUCCCUAAUGUCAGGCUAGCUGCAGUCAGCAUCCGUGUGCGGGAGGCUGGUGCAGAGGAUGGGGCACAGAUCUCCAGGGCAGAGAUUCUACAUUCCUGAGGUGGCUCUUGUGCAUUUUUACUAUCUUCGACUUUUAGAGCAAUACCGUUUCUGUGACCAAAUGUAUUGCAAGUGCUUGGAAGAUCUUAAUGUCCACAAAUAGAGCAGGGGAGGAACACAUCAGACAUGUGUCUGCUUUAUAUUUAGGAGUGAAAUUAAGUCACUUUUUUUCCCCUCUCCAAACCAUAACUGUGUCACGAGAGGAGAUUUAGUUCGAUUUCUGAAUUUGACAGAUCUUUUGAGGGAUUAAGAAGUGUCUCUGGAUUCCUAUUGACUUACUAACGUGCCAGCUGCCUGGAUGCAUGCAUAGAUGUUUUCCUCUUAGAGAUCCUGGUUUCAUUCCCAUUGAGAGCAGACUUGGGUGCAACUUGCUGGCCUGAAGGAGCCCCCUGAGCCGCACAGCUCUUCCUUUGAGAGUAAAAGCCUGGUGUGAGUAUCUGCUGCGUUGACUCUGCAGACUUCUUCUGGCACGUGUUUUAUUACCACUUCUUGGUUCCAAGUGACACUUCGUGAGCAGGAUUCCACCUCACGCAGGCUAAAAAGUACAAAUUGCUUCUGCCCUGGCCAAGGCUCGGUGCGAAGGACAAGGGGAAUGCAGGUGGGAGAGGGAGGGAAAGUUGUGGAAGGGGAGAAGAGGGUCUGUGCCCCGGGCAGCCGCCUGCAGGGGCAGGAGGAGCAGUUUGCCACUGAGAAUCAGAUUAUUUAUUACCAAAAGUAAUUUUAUAGUGAACUGGUUGAAAGUUAUUUUACAGCUGUGUGCCUGUAUAUCGUAUUUUGGUAAAAACAGAUAUUUUACUUAAAACUAUAUAGAUAUAUAUAUAUAUAAAAAUAAACUUUUUUUUUUUU